AAGUAAAAGUCGUAACAAGGUUUCCGUAGGUGAACCUGCGGAAGGAUCAUUAAUGUAACCGGACCGGUCCUUUGCCGUAAAACGCAUUGGAUGGGAAUGGGAGAUAUCAUACACCCUGUGUUUAUUUACCUUUGUUGCUUUGGCGGGCCGUUCUUUUAGGCGUCGGCCUCGGCUGAUCGCGCCCGCCAGAGGACCCAAACUCUUUUAUCAGUGAUGUCUGAGUAUUAUAUAAUAGUUAAAACUUUCAACAACGGAUCUCUUGGUUCUGGCAUCGAUGAAGAACGCAGC
Molecule: unclassified non-coding RNA, 288 nt
Filed under: uncultured fungus
Lineage: Eukaryota; Fungi
Description: sequence contains 18S rRNA gene, ITS1, 5.8S rRNA gene
Rfam family: Eukaryotic small subunit ribosomal RNA (bases 1-52)
Source: RNAcentral